AUAUCAAUAAGCGGAGGAAAAGAAACUAACAAGGAUUCCCCUAGUAACGGCGAGUGAAGCGGGAAGAGCUCAAAUUUGAAAUCUGGUGGCCUCAGGCUAUCCGAGUUGUAAUCUAUAGAAACAUUUUCCGCGUUGGCCCAUGUACAAGUCUCUUGGAAUAGAGCGUCAUAGAGGGUGAGAAUCCCGUCCUUGACAUGGACUACCAGUGCUUUGUGAUAUGUUUUCAACGAGUCGAGUUGUUUGGGAAUGCAGCUCAAAAUGGGUGGUAAAUUCCAUCUAAAGCUAAAUAUUGGCGAGAGACCGAUAGCGAACAAGUACCGUGAGGGAAAGAUGAAAAGCACUUUGGAAAGAGAGUUAAACAGUAUGUGAAAUUGUUGAAAGGGAAACGAUUGAAGUCAGUCGUGUCUAUUGGACUCAGCCGGUUCUGCCGGUGUACUUCCUUUAGAUGGGGUCAACAUCAGUUUUGAUCGCUGGAAAAGGGCAGGAGGAAUGUAGCACUCUCGGGUGAACUUAUAGCCUUCUGUCGCAUACAGUGGUUGGGACUGAGGAACGCAGCUUGCCUUUAUGGCCGGGAUUUAUCCACGUACAAGCUUAGGAUGUUGACAUAAUGGCUUUAAACGAC
Molecule: ribosomal RNA, 622 nt
Filed under: Solicoccozyma terricola
Lineage: Eukaryota; Fungi; Basidiomycota; Tremellomycetes; Filobasidiales; Piskurozymaceae
Description: LSU rRNA
Rfam family: Eukaryotic large subunit ribosomal RNA
Source: RNAcentral